UUACAUACCUGGAAGGGGAGAUAACCUGACCUGGCAGGGGAUUCUCCUGCGUGAGGCUCCUCUAUUGCGCUGCGGGAGUGCUGACCCCUACGAUUUCCCCACAUGUGGGAAACUCGACUGCAGAAUUUGUGGUAGUGGGGGACUGCCUGCGCCCUCUCCCCUG
Lepus europaeus (European hare) is the source of this 163-nucleotide small nuclear RNA. RefSeq annotates it as U1 spliceosomal RNA. The transcript has a single exon. Lineage: Eukaryota; Metazoa; Chordata; Mammalia; Lagomorpha; Leporidae. The record is from RefSeq and is a predicted model, not a curated record.